CGGGGCAUAGCACAGUCUAGUAGUACACUUGACUGGGGGUCAAAAGGUCGCUGGUUCAAGUCCAGUCGCUCCGA
Molecule: transfer RNA, 74 nt
Filed under: Liberibacter crescens BT-1
Lineage: Bacteria; Pseudomonadati; Pseudomonadota; Alphaproteobacteria; Hyphomicrobiales; Rhizobiaceae
Rfam family: tRNA
About the family: Transfer RNA (tRNA) molecules are approximately 80 nucleotides in length. Their secondary structure includes four short double-helical elements and three loops (D, anti-codon, and T loops).
Source: Rfam by way of RNAcentral